This 481-nucleotide ribosomal RNA is filed under the name uncultured bacterium. RNAcentral's name for it is "partial 16S ribosomal RNA". It matches the Rfam family "Bacterial small subunit ribosomal RNA", at positions 30 to 506 of the family's 1533-position model. The record is from RNAcentral.
AUUGAACGCUGGCGGCAUGCCUUACACAUGCAAGUCGAACGGUAACAGGUCUUCGGAUGCUGACGAGUGGCGAACGGGUGAGUAAUACAUCGGAACGUGCCCGAUCGUGGGGGAUAACGAGGCGAAAGCUUUGCUAAUACCGCAUACGAUCUACGGAUGAAAGCGGGGGAUCUUCGGACCUCGCGCGGACGGAGCGGCCGAUGGCAGAUUAGGUAGUUGGUGGGAUAAAAGCUUACCAAGCCGACGAUCUGUAGCUGGUCUGAGAGGAUGAUCAGCCACACUGGGACUGAGACACGGCCCAGACUCCUACGGGAGGCAGCAGUGGGGAAUUUUGGACAAUGGGCGAAAGCCUGAUCCAGCCAUGCCGCGUGCAGGAUGAAGGCCUUCGGGUUGUAAACUGCUUUUGUACGGAACGAAAAGCCUCUUUCUAAUAAAGAGGGGUCAUGACGGUACCGUAAGAAGAAGCACCGGCUAACUACGU